UACUGUAUACCAAUGGAGCGAGGAAGUUUGCGUUGAUAGGAGUCGGGGCAAUCGGUUGCAGCCCGAACGAGCUAGCUCAAAACAGCAGAGACGGAAGAACGUGUGACGAAAGAAUCAACUCAGCGAACAGAAUCUUUAACAGCAAACUCAUAUCUAUAGUCGACGCUUUUAACCAGAACACACCAGAUGCAAAAUUCACUUACAUCAACGCUUAUGGCAUCUUCCAAGACAU
RNAcentral lists this small RNA (232 nucleotides) under Arabidopsis thaliana (thale cress). RNAcentral describes it as "ATSL291020". Lineage: Eukaryota; Viridiplantae; Streptophyta; Magnoliopsida; Brassicales; Brassicaceae. The record is from RNAcentral.